GGUCUAGCUGACUGCCUCAAUGAAUAUUUUUGUUCUGUAUUUACAGAUGAAAAUGAAGGAAAGGAGUCACAGUUAGGAAAAAGGACAAAUGAGUAAUUUGUUACAUGUGAGUUUACAGAGGAAGAGGUUCUAUUUCAACUGUCAAAGGAUAGGACAAAUAAGUCAAUGGGGCCUGAUGGAAUACACCCAAAGCUAUUAAAAGAGCUUAGUGGUGUACUAGCAAAACCAUUAACAGAUUUAUUUAACCAAUCAUUGUUAACAGGAGUGGUCCCAGAAGAGUGGAAGUUAGCAAAUGUUGUGCCCAUUCACAAGAAAGGUAGUAGGGAGGAGUCGGGCAACUAUAGGCCAGUAAACCUUACUUUAGUAGUAGGGAAAGUAAUGGAAACCAUGUUAAAGAAUAGGAUUGUUGAAUAUCUAAAAUCACAUGGCUUUCAAGAUCAGAGACAAUAUGGGUUUUCGUCAGGGAGGUCAUGCCAAAC
Pelobates cultripes (western spadefoot toad) is the source of this 479-nucleotide non-coding RNA. Lineage: Eukaryota; Metazoa; Chordata; Amphibia; Anura; Pelobatidae. The record is from the annotation of a GenBank genome assembly.